This 402-nucleotide ribosomal RNA is filed under the name uncultured bacterium. Its description in RNAcentral is "bacterial SSU rRNA". It matches the Rfam family "Bacterial small subunit ribosomal RNA", at positions 355 to 774 of the family's 1533-position model. The record is from RNAcentral.
UGGGGAAUCUUGCACAAUGGGGGCAACCCUGAUGCAGCGACGCCGCGUGAGCGAUGAAGCCCUUCGGGGCGUAAAGCUCUUUCGACCGGAACGAUACUGACGGUACCGGGAGAAGAAGCUGCGGCUAACUACGUGCCAGCAGCCGCGGUAAUACGUAGGCAGCAAGCGUUGUUCGGAGUUACUGGGCGUAAAGAGUGCGUAGGCGGUUUUCUAAGUUCGGUGUGAAAUCUCCCGGCUUAACUGGGAGGGUGCGCCGAAGACUGGGAAGCUGGAGUGUGGGAAAGGCAGGCGGAAUUCCUGGUGUAGCGGUGAAAUGCGUAGAUAUCAGGAGGAACACCGGCGGUGUAGACGGCUUGCUAGACCAUAACUGACGCUGAGGCACGAAAGCGUGGGUAGCAAACA